CAAUCUCAGUUCAGACUGCAGGCUGCAACUCGCCUGCACGAAGUCGGAAUUGCUAGUAAUCGUAGGCCAGCAUACUACGGUGAAUACGUUCCCGGGCCUUGUACACACCGCCCGUCAAACCAUGAGAGUUGGCAACACCCGAAGUCGGUAGUCUAACCGCAAGGAGGACGCCGCCGAAGGUGGGGUUGAUGAUUAGGGUUAAGUCGUAACAAGGUACC
This 218-nucleotide ribosomal RNA is filed under the name uncultured bacterium. Its description in RNAcentral is "partial 16S ribosomal RNA". It matches the Rfam family "Bacterial small subunit ribosomal RNA", at positions 1283 to 1500 of the family's 1533-position model. The record is from RNAcentral.